UGGGGAAUAUUGCACAAUGGGCGCAAGCCUGAUGCAGCCAUGCCGCGUGUGUGAAGAAGGCCUUCGGGUUGUAAAGCACUUUCAGCGAGGAGGAAGGUGGUGAACUUAAUACGUUCAUCAAUUGACGUUACUCGCAGAAGAAGCACCGGCUAACUCCGUGCCAGCAGCCGCGGUAAUACGGAGGGUAGCAAGCGUUAAUCGGAAUUACUGGGCGUAAAGCGCACGCAGGCGGUUUGUUAAGUCAGAUGUGAAAUCCCCGGGCUCAACCUGGGAACUGCAUUUGAAACUGGCAAGCUAGAGUCUCGUAGAGGGGGGUAGAAUUCCAGGUGUAGCGGUGAAAUGCGUAGAGAUCUGGAGGAAUACCGGUGGCGAAGGCGGCCCCCCUGGACGAAGACUGACGCUCAGGUGCGAAAGCGUGGGGAGCAACCAGGAUUAGAUACCCUGGUAGUCCACGCUGUAAACGAUGUCGAUUUGGAGGUUGUGCCCUUGAGGCGUGGCUUCCGGAGCUAACGCGUUAAAUCGACCGCC
Molecule: ribosomal RNA, 528 nt
Filed under: uncultured bacterium
Lineage: Bacteria
Description: partial 16S ribosomal RNA
Rfam family: Bacterial small subunit ribosomal RNA
Source: RNAcentral